GUGCCAGCGCCGCGGUAAUACGAGGACCCCAAGCGUUAUCCGGAUUUAUUGGGCGUAAAGCGCACGCAGACGGCCAAAUGCGUCUGUUGUUAAAUCUCAGGGCUUAACUCUGAGGCUGCAAUGGAUACGGUUUGGCUAGAGGAUGCUAGAGGUUACUGGAACUCACGGUGUAGGGGUGAAAUCCGUUGAUAUCGUGGGGAACACCAAAGGCGAAGGCAUGUAACUGGGGCAUUCCUGACGUUCAGGUGCGAAAGCGUGGGGAGCGAAGAGGAUUAGAUACCCUCGUAGUCCACGCCGUAAAUGAUGUUCACUAGCUGUUUCGAGUAUCGACCCUCGGAGUGGCGAAGCUAACGCGUUAAGUGAACCGCCUGGGAAGUACGGCCGCAAGGCUAAAACUCAAAGGAAUAGACGGGGACUCGCACAAGCGGUGGAUCAUGUGGUUUAAUUCGAUGAUAAACGAAGAACCUUACCAGGGCUUGAAAUCUAGACGAAUUAUUUCCGAAAGGAAAUAAGUCUUCGGACGGCUAGACAGGCGCUGCAUGGUUGUCGUCAGCUCGUGGCGUGAGCUGUUCCCUUAAGUGGG
RNAcentral lists this ribosomal RNA (583 nucleotides) under uncultured Parcubacteria group bacterium. Its description in RNAcentral is "bacterial SSU rRNA". It matches the Rfam family "Bacterial small subunit ribosomal RNA", at positions 505 to 1088 of the family's 1533-position model. The record is from RNAcentral.